CUCCUGCAGCUUGGUCUGGUUCUCGAUGAUGCUCGUGAAUCGAUCGGUCAGGGUGCGCUCCCUGGUACUCAAGUCCUCGUCGUCGUCGCCGUCCUCCAGCGGCUCCACCACCGCCUUCAGGUAGGUGGUCCUGUCGCGCCAGACUUUGUCGUUGAGGGUCCUGUUGAUGCGAACUCGGCCGAUGACCUUGUGAGAGCACACGUACUUGACCGCGUCGUCCGUCUGCUCGCUCACCUCCUUCAGGUCCUCGAGGUAGAACACCGGCGCGACGGUGGCGAGCCGCCCGGUCUCCGGGUUGGACACCGGCACGGCGAAUCUGCGCGAUCCGUUGAACAGGAUGUCGGAGUACAUCUGCCGGUACCUCGGCUCGAAGAUGUUCAGGAUGUGGUCGCUGUGCGGCAGGUACGCGGUGGAACCGAGGGGAAAGAGCGGGAGGACCAUCGUCUGCGGGCUCGCCUCCGGGUCGAUCUCCUCGAUCUCCUUCGUGGGGUCCAGCGGGGGCAGCCAGGAGAGUUCCGCGAGGUAAUCCCGCGGGCCGUCGUCGUCGGCGGACUCGCCCGGGUCGCCGCUGCCGGACGCGAAGAGGCGGAAGGCGGCGGGGUCGCGGCGGGGAGCCUCGCGCCGGCCGAACGCCGCGGGAGGCGCCGCGACGCACGCGCGCGCGCGGAGGCGCCCAGCGGCGCCCGCGCGGCGCCACGGGGAGACUCCCGCGGCGAGCGAGGAGGACCGGCAGUGACACCUGCGGAGUUCGCUCGCGCAGCGGACCAGGACGGGCCCGGCUCGGACGUGCGCCGCCAUCUCGACUGCGUUUCGCGCGGUCUCUCGGUUACUCGGACUCGGAGAGUGUGCGCGGUGAAGCUCUCGCGGGGUUCGGGCGCGUCUUUCGCUCCCGAAGCGCCGGCAGAUCUGGGCGCGGGGCGUGUAGCCGGGGCGGAUUGAGACCAACGUGGCGAUCUGGCUGGAUAACCUUUUUAGGGAUUUUCGGGGUCGCUCCCCAGGGUGAAAACCCAU
Molecule: long non-coding RNA, 1011 nt
Filed under: Micromonas commoda
Lineage: Eukaryota; Viridiplantae; Chlorophyta; Mamiellophyceae; Mamiellales; Mamiellaceae
Description: long non-coding RNA (MCOM_LNC000289)
Source: RNAcentral